AUGUGUACUCGCGGCAUUGCGUGGUCUGUGCAGGUGCUGAUGCAGGCAGAUCCGUUCCUGAGCGAGCUGACCAACAUGUACGAGCGGAGCACGGAGAAGGGCUCCGUGUGGGUCACCAUGAAGCGAUCGUCGAUGAAGUGUCAGGCUAGGUUGAAGAAGAUGGCGAGUAAGGGGGAGCCUGUUGAGUACCGGUGCCUGGUCCGCGCCACCGAUGGCAAGAGGAACAUCUCCACCUCGCUGUCUGCAAAGGAGUAUCUGAAAUUCCAAGCUUCGUAUGCCCUGGUUCUUAAAGCCCAUAUGCAUGCCUUGAAGAAGAGGGAGAGGAAGGACAGGAAGAAGACGGUCGAGGCAGAGAAGAUACCCGAGAAGGAACCGAAGAAGCAGAAGAAAUCAUCUUCGAAGAAGUCCGCAGGGUCUAAGUAG
Molecule: ribosomal RNA, 423 nt
Filed under: Triticum aestivum (bread wheat)
Lineage: Eukaryota; Viridiplantae; Streptophyta; Magnoliopsida; Poales; Poaceae
Description: partial small subunit ribosomal RNA
Source: RNAcentral